UACAGAGGGGGCAAGCGUUGUUCGGAAUUACUGGGCGUAAAGGGCGCGUAGGCGGCCUGCUAAGUCGAACGUGAAAUCCCUGGGCUCAACCCAGGAACUGCGUCCGAUACUGGUUGGCUUGAAUCCGGGAGAGGGAUGUGGAAUUCCAGGUGUAGCGGUGAAAUGCGUAGAUAUCUGGAGGAACACCGGUGGCGAAGGCGACAUCCUGGACCGGCAUUGACGCUGAGGCGCGAAAGCCAGGGGAGCAAACGGGAUUAGAAACC
RNAcentral lists this ribosomal RNA (263 nucleotides) under uncultured bacterium. RNAcentral's name for it is "partial 16S ribosomal RNA". It matches the Rfam family "Bacterial small subunit ribosomal RNA", at positions 524 to 786 of the family's 1533-position model. The record is from RNAcentral.